Molecule: ribosomal RNA, 253 nt
Filed under: uncultured bacterium
Lineage: Bacteria
Description: partial 16S ribosomal RNA
Rfam family: Bacterial small subunit ribosomal RNA
Source: RNAcentral
UACGAAGGGGGCUAGCGUUGUUCGGAAUUACUGGGCGCAAAGCGCGUGUAGGCGGGCCGUUAAGUCGGGGGUGAAAGCCCAGAGAUCAACUCUGGAAUUGCCUUCGAUACUGGCGGCCUUGAGCAUGAUAGAGGCGAGUGGAAUUGCGAGUGUAGAGGUGAAAUUCGUAGAUAUUCGCAGGAACACCAGUGGCGAAGGCGACUCGCUCGAUCAUUGCUGACGCUGUGACUCGAAAGCGUGGGGAGCAAACAGG